Molecule: non-coding RNA, 29 nt
Filed under: Rattus norvegicus (Norway rat)
Lineage: Eukaryota; Metazoa; Chordata; Mammalia; Rodentia; Muridae
Source: RNAcentral
UGAGAAUUUACCCUUCCUGAGUCAGGCCU